UACGGGGGGGGCAAGCGUUGUUCGGAAUUACUGGGCGUAAAGGGCUCGUAGGCGGCCAACUAAGUCAGACGUGAAAUCCCUCGGCUUAACCGGGGAACUGCGUCUGAUACUGGAUGGCUUGAGUUCGGGAGAGGGAUGCGGAAUUCCAGGUGUAGCGGUGAAAUGCUUAGAUAUGACAGAGAACACCAAGUGCGAAGGCAGCUUGCUACAGGGAUAUUGACACUGAGGCACGAAAGCGUGGGGAUCAAACAGG
RNAcentral lists this ribosomal RNA (253 nucleotides) under uncultured bacterium. RNAcentral describes it as "partial 16S ribosomal RNA". It matches the Rfam family "Bacterial small subunit ribosomal RNA", at positions 524 to 776 of the family's 1533-position model. The record is from RNAcentral.